GGAGAGAUGACAGAGUGGCCGAAUGUGCCCGACUCGAAAUCGGGUGUACCAGCGAUGGUACCGAGGGUUCGAAUCCCUCUCUCUCCGCCA
This 90-nucleotide transfer RNA is filed under the name Puniceicoccales bacterium. RNAcentral describes it as "tRNA-Ser". It matches the Rfam family "tRNA". From Rfam's summary of the family: Transfer RNA (tRNA) molecules are approximately 80 nucleotides in length. Their secondary structure includes four short double-helical elements and three loops (D, anti-codon, and T loops). Further hydrogen bonds mediate the characteristic L-shaped molecular structure. tRNAs have two regions of fundamental functional importance: the anti-codon, which is responsible for specific mRNA codon recognition, and the 3' end, to which the tRNAs corresponding amino acid is attached (by aminoacyl-tRNA synthetases). tRNAs cope with the degeneracy of the genetic code in two manners: having more than one tRNA (with a specific anti-codon) for a particular amino acid; and 'wobble' base-pairing, i.e. permitting non-standard base-pairing at the 3rd anti-codon position. Lineage: Bacteria; Pseudomonadati; Verrucomicrobiota; Opitutia; Puniceicoccales. The record is from RNAcentral.